AAAAGAAACCAACAGGGAUUGCCCUAGUAACGGCGAGUGAAGCGGCAACAGCUCAAAUUUGAAAUCUGGCUACUUUGUAGUCCGAGUUGUAAUUUGUAGAGGAUGCUUUUGGUGAGGUGCUUUCUGAGUUCCCUGGAACGGGACGCCAGAGAGGGUGAGAGCCCCGUACAGUUAGCAACCGAUCCUUUGUAUAGCUCCUUCGACGAGUCGAGUAGUUUGGGAAUGCUGCUCUAAAUGGGAGGUAUAUCUCUUCUAAAGCUAAAUAUAGGCUAGAGACCGAUAGCGCACAAGUAGAGUGAUCGAAAGAUGAAAAGCACUUUGAAAAGAGAGUUAAACAGCACGUGAAAUUGUUGAAAGGGAAGCGCCUAUGACCAGACUUGUUUCUAUCAGUUUUGGUAGUUUUCGGACUGCUUUACUCUGUUAGUACAGGCCAACAUCAGUUUGUUGUCGGGGAGAAAGGCUUAGGGAAUGUGGCUCCCUCGGGAGUGUUAUAGAUCUUUGCAUAAUACCCUUCGGCAGACUGAGGA
Molecule: ribosomal RNA, 527 nt
Filed under: Ambrosiella xylebori
Lineage: Eukaryota; Fungi; Ascomycota; Sordariomycetes; Microascales; Ceratocystidaceae
Description: eukaryotic LSU rRNA
Rfam family: Eukaryotic large subunit ribosomal RNA
Source: RNAcentral